UAAUUUUUUGCUACACAUGGAAUAAAGUUGAUACCCCAAAUGGUGGAUCUAACUCCAGUUUUUGGUUCAUUGGAGAUGAAAUUUCUCACUAGGGCUCCAAAUGUAGUAGUUUUCAUAGAGGAUAAAGCCCACAUUGGGGAUGCUCUGACAAGUGAAAAUAAAUACCACUAGACUAUAGUACUAAGUGACCCGACAAAAUUUUUUCGUCUAGCAAGGAAUUUAUUUUAUAGUCAAGUAUUUAUGCAUUGAAAAUUUGAACUCUUCUGAUGUAAUAUGUAGUAUACAUGAACAAGAUACUUUUCUCUUCCCACUUACAUGGUUUAUGCGUUAAAAAAUUCAAAUCAUAAGGAGGCGGAUAGGAUUUUCAAUUUAAAAUCAAGGAAAAUCGAACAAAAGUAGUCAGAUAGGGUUUAUGGAUGAGUCGUGUUACUUACAUUCAAUGGUAAUUAAUGUAAUUUGUUUUAAAAUCAUAGACACUUUAAUUGCUGACAUGGAAGACUGUUCUACUUACUAGACCCACCUAUAACAAUGUAUUUCUAAUGGAUCUCGUUAAAAAAAUGUCUAAGAAAUUUUGUUCAUCAUCUGAUAUAUCAAAUUUAAACUAUUAUUCAUUACAUUAUUACUUUUCAUAAUUGUAAUAAGUAUUUUUAAAACAAGAAAUAAUAAUUAAAAAUGAUGAAAAACUUUACUAAUCACUUCAAAUAGAUUUGAAAUUGCUGUCAAAUUUGACAGCAACCACAUUUGCUGUCAAUCCAGAUCAUGUCACAUAGGAAUUGACAUUUAGGUUGGAAAACACUGAUGUUAUCUUUUUUUACUAUUAUUGCUGAUGAAAACAUUUUCACUCCUCAUUUAGAGAUGCUCUAAGGAGGCAAAACUCCAAAUAGGAUUCUUGAUUGCGUGAGGAUAACUUGGAGACAAGGAAACAGAUUUUUUAUUUUAUGUUUUGUAUUUUUUGAACACGAAAGCAGAAGAAACCAAAUCCUUACAAGUAAAAGAAGCUUAAAACCCAAACUGUAAACUUCGUAAAUACCUAAACCAAUCUUGGGCUGGGCGUGUUGUCCAAAAGAAAAAAUCUAGUCAUAUUGUUGUGCUAAGAUAGCACCAAACCCGUUGGAACCAACUCAAGCUAACCCACAGGAAAUUUAUUAAAUGAAAUGCAAGAACAAAAUAUUAAAGACACCAAGAUUUUAACGAGGUUCCUCAACAGUCAGUGUAACUGGAGUACGUCCUCGGAGCAGUAGGAGCUCACCCAAUAAUCCACUAUCAACCAAAUGGGAGUUUACAAAGUGUUGACAAUCUCAUAACCCAAAAGCCCAAUACACCCAAUAGCUCUCACACACCAAAGAAACAAAUAGAGAGGGAAAUAUAGUGAAUAAUUUCAUCUCUAUACAAAGCUCAAAGCUAAUACACAAAUACAACUUUGAUUGAGUGAGUACCAACAAAGAAAGAAAAUCACCUUUCUUUCUUCUCUUCAAAAUGAGGCUGCAGCACCUCUGUUUUUGCUCUCAUUUUCUGCUACGUUUUUUCCUCUCUUAUGGCUUCAUUACUACACUUCAUCAAAAAUAGCAAUUAUUUCUCUUUCAAAGAACUCAUCCGUGACUUCCCAUGGACCAAGACAACUUUAGACCAACUCCCUUUUCUUUUCCCCAAAACAAGGAAGAGACAUAAUUAUUUUGUCUUUUUUUUCUUUUUGAUUUGUUUAAUUAAAAGGUGGCCACUUGGCCACAUACUCCAACAAUCUCCACCUUGGCCAAGUUCCGAAAAAUGUCAUGAUAAGCCAACCAACACAAUUAACACACAACAUCACUCCCAAACACUAGCAAGAGAACAACUCAUGCCGAGCCAAAUACUCCAAAACUCCUACUGCUCAACGCCUUCUUUAUAUAGGCAUAAUGUGAGCCAAGUUCAAACAGUGAACAAACUUGGCUACACCAACAACCUUAGUCAACAUAUCAGCGGGGUUGUCUUUCGUUGGAAUCUUCUGGAGAAUGAUUUCCCCUUCACCAACAAUUUCACGAACAAAGUGAUAACGCACAUCUAUAUGCUUGGUCAUCGCAUGAUGAACCUGAUACUUAGCCAAAUAAAUGGCACUCUGACUAUCACAAUGUACCUCCACCUGCUUCUGAUCAACCCCCAAAUCUCUAAUAAGCCCAUGUAUCCAAAUGACCUCCUUUAUAGCUUCAGCAACUGCCAUAUAUUCAGCCUCUGUAGUAGACAAGGCAACAGACGACUGCAAAAUGGACCUCCAACAAACUGGCCCUUUAGCCAUAGUAAACACAUAGCCUGUAGUAGACUUCCUUCCAUCCAGAUCACCUGCAUAAUCUGAAUCAACAUAACCAACUGCAAAAUGACCAAUACCAGAGUCAUCUUUCUCAAAGCAUAAACCAACAUCUCGAGUACCAUGAAGAUACCUCAAUAUCCACUUAGCUGCUUGCCAAUGCUCUUUACCUGGAUUAUGCAUAUAUCGACUCACCAUGCCAACUGCAUGAGCAAUAUCCGGUCUAGAGCAUACCAUUGCAUACAUCAAACUACCAACCAAAUUUGCAUAUGGUAUAUUUUUCAUUUGCAGCUUCUCUUUAUCAUUUUUUUAGGACAUUGUAGAGAACUCAAUUUAAAAUGAGGAGCCAAAGGGGUACUAACCGGUUUGGUUGAAUCAUGAACUCCAAACUUCCGAAUCAACUUUUCAAGGUAUUGCCUUUGAUUCAAACUGACCAAACCCUUCUCUCUAUCUCUAGUGAUCUCCAUGCCAAUGAUCUUCUUUGCUUCACCAAGAUCCUUCAUCUCAAACUCAUUCUUCAUUUGUUUCUUCAAUUUCUCAAUCUCUUCAACAUUCUUUGAGGCAAUCAACAUAUCAUCAACAUAUAUCAAUAAAUAAAUGAAAGACCCAUCUUGCAACUUCUUGAAGUACACACAAUGAUCAUAUUGACUUCUAGAAUAAUUUUGGCCUCUCAUAAAUUUAUCAAACCUCAAAUACCAUUGUCUUGGAGAUUGCUUCAAGCCAUAUAGUGAUUUCUUCAAUUUGAAAAACAAGUUCUCCUUCCCUUUCACUAUAUACCCAUCCGGUUGACACAUAUAAAUCUCUUCAUUCAAAUCACCAUGUAGGAAAGCCGUCUUCACAUCAAGUUGCACAAGCUCAAGAUCAUAUUGUGCAACAAGAGCUAACAUAAUACGAAUUGAGGAGUGUUUCACAACCGGAGAAAAUAUUUCAUUGUAGUCAAUGCCCUCCUUUUGUGCAUACCCUUUAGCAACUAAUCUUGCUUUGAAUCUCACAUUGCUUUUCUCAUCAGCAUCUUCCUUCUUGGCAUACACCCAUUUGCAACCGAUAGCUUUCUUGCCCUUAGGCAAUUUAGCUAACUCCCAAGUCUUAUUCUUCAAGAGAGAAUUUAUCUCAUCACCCAUGGCAUUGCACCACCUUUUCUUCUCCUCACUCUCAAUAGCUUCCUCAAAAUUGGAUGGAAUCUCAUCAGUGAUAAUAGGAAGAGCAAAAGAAACAUAGUCACUAUACCGAGCUGGCUUGGUAAUUUGUCUCUUUCCUCUGUUCUUGGCAAUAGACUCUUGAGGUGAAACUUCCUCUUCAACUUGAAUAGAAUCUUCAAGUUCAACUUCUUCAACAUCCUCAUGGUCUCCAACUUCUUCACUUGUAGUGGCUUCGACAUCAGCGGAAAUAGGAUUUGAAGUACCAGAGGCAACUUUCUCAAGCUCCACCUGUUGGACAUCUUUCACAUUCUUCUCAGAGACUUUGUACAUACUUUCUUCAUCAAAUGUCACAUCUCUACUGAUUACAAGUUUCUUCAUCUCUGGACACCACAACCUGUAACCUUUGACACCACUACUAAAACCAAGAAAGAUAGCCUUUUUGGCUCUAGGAUCAAGUUUAUUUUUCAGUUACAUGAAAAUAAGCAGGUGAACCAAAAAUACGAAUAUGAUCAUAAUCAGAAUAAGGUUUUCCAGUCCAUACCUCCAUUGGUGUCUUACCCUGAAUAGCAGCUGAGGGUAACCGGUUGAUGAUGUGACAUGCAUAAUUAACUGCCUCUGCCCAAAAUGACUUGCUUAAACCCGACUGAGACAACAUACAUCUAACCUUCUCAAGCAAGGUUCGAUUCAAUCUUUCUGCAACUCCAUUUUGUUGUGGAGUUCCCCGAACACUAAAAUGUCUCACAAUUCCUUCUUCUUUGCAAACUUUAAAGAAAGGGUCGGAUGUGUAUUCACCACCAUUAUCCGAUCUCAAAAUCUUAAUCUUUCUCCCAGUCUGGUUCUCAACCAUUUUCUUCCAUCCCAAGAAAAUGCUUAACACCUCACUCUUGUGCUUCAUAGUGUAAACCCAAGACCUUCUUGAAUAAUCAUCAACAAAGGUCACGAACCAAUGUCUACCACUCAAAGAGGGAGUCUUUGUAGGACCCCAAACAUCCGAAUGCACAUAAUCAAGAAUGCCCUUCGUCUGAUGUACAGCAGUACCAAACUUCACUCUAGUUUGCUUCCCCAAGACACAAUGCUCGCAGAAAUCAAGCUUACAAGUCGUGGCACCUUUUAGAAGACCUUUUUUCACAAGCCCUUGUAGAGCUUUCUCACCGGCAUGGCCUAAUCUCAUAUGCCACAGUCUAGUAGUAUCUGAAUCAGAUGUGCCCAUAUUUUCAGAAACUACAGAUGCUUCACCUGUCACAGUGCUUCCCUGCAAUAAAUACAAAUGGCCACAUCUAGGAGCUUUCAUCACAACAAGUGCACCGUAAGUAACUUUUAAUGUCUGCCCAUCUGAAUGAAACCUGAAACCCUUGGAUUCCAAAGUACCCAAAGAAAUAAGAUUUUCUUCAAAUUCGGUACAUACCGAACACCUGUCAACUCUUUAACCAUGCCAUCAUGCAACUUCAACCGAACUGUACCAAUCCCUUUUGUUGUGCAAGGAUUGUCAUCUCCCAUGAACACAACGCCACCAUCAAACUCUUUCAAGCUUGAAAACCAAUCCUUGUGAGGAGUCAUAUGAUGAGUACAACCCGUAUCCAGCACCCACUUAGUAGCACAAUCAAAUGAUGAGGAAGUGGUUAAAGCAAAAUCAGAAAAAAUCUGUUUCAACCUCAGCAACAUUAGCUUCAGAACUUUCUUUGCCUUUGGUCUUCAAUUUAGGACAAUCUUUCUUCCAAUGGCCCUUAUUAUGACAAAAGGCACAUUCAUCCCUUUCCAAAGGUUUUCUACCUUUAGAGUUUCCUCUAGGUCGAGACUGUGAUUUUUUCCUACUAGAAGAUGAUCUUCUCUCCGAUGAUCUACCUCUAACAAAUAAAGCUUCAGAGGUACUAUCAUGAUUUUUUAUCUCUAUGCCUCAUUUCAUAAUUCAUCAAGGCAUUUGACACAUCUCUUCAAAUUUCACAGUUUCUUUACCAUGCAUAAUAGUGGUAACAAAAUGCUCAUAAGAGUCCGGCAAGGAAUUCAACAAUAUUAAGGCCUUAUCUUCAUCCUUAAUAUCCUCAUCUAAAUUUAACAAGUCGGCAAUCAACUUAUUAAAAGCAUCAAGGUGUCUAAUCAUUUUUGUACCUUCUUUGUAUUGGAAGCGGUAGAGCUUUUUCUUCAAGUGUAGCCGGUUCUCUGCACUCUUCGUCAUAUACUUGUCUUCCAAUUUUUGCCACGAUACACUUGCUACCGUCUCCCGCAUCACAAAAUACUUCUGAGUUUUUGCAAGGCACAACCGAAUUGAAGAGCAAGCCCACAAAUUUAAUUUCUCCCAUUCCGACUUCGACAUAGCUUCCGGCUUUUCUCCCAAAGCGGCAAGUAGAUCUUGUUGAGCCAACACAUCUUUGACCUCACAUUGCCACAUCCCGAAGUUGUUUGUGCCAUCAAACUUUUCAACUUCGAACUUUGCAUUUUGCACCGUAGUUCUUGCAAACCCGGAGCUGCUUCCAAAAGGAUUCUCAUCUUGCCCGUCUGACAUCUUUGGCAACUAGACAGUACCCAAGAGCAACCAGUGCUCUGAUACCAAUUGUUGUGCUAAGAUAGCACCAAACCCGUUGGAACCAACUCAAGCUAACCCACAGGAAAUUUAUCAAAUGAAAUGCAAGAACAAAAUAUUAAAGACACCAAGAUUUUAACGAGGUUCCUCAACAGUCAGUGUAACUGGAGUACGUCCUCGGAGCAGUAGGAGCUCACCCAAUAAUCCACUAUCAACCAAAUGGGAGUUUACAAAGUGUUGACAAUCUCACAACCCAAAAGCCCAAUACACCCAAUAGCUCUCACACACCAAAGAAACAAAUAGAGAGGGAAAUAUAGUGAAUAAUUUCCUCUCUAUACAAAGUUCAAAGCUAAUACACAAAUACAACUUUGAUUGAGUGAGUACCAAUAAAGAAAGAAAAUCACCUUUCUUUCUUCUCUUCAAAAUGAGGCUGCAGCACCUCUGUUUUUGCUCUCAUUUUCUGCUACGUUUUUUCCUCUCUUAUGGCUUCAUUACUACACUUCAUCAAAAAUAGCAAUUAUUUCUCUUUCAAAGAACUCAUCCGUGACUUCCCAUGGACCAAGACAACUUUAGACCAAUUCCCUUUUAUUUUCCCCAAAACAAGGAAGAGACAUAAUUAUUUUGUCUUUUUUUUCUUUUUGAUUUGUUUAAUUAAAAGGUGGCCACUUGGCCACAUACUCCAACACAUAUUUCUCUGGCGUUUCAUGCCUUUGGCUUAGUUAAAUACGAGUAAUUUUUAGCGUAUUCAAAACAUUAUUAUGCGGUACUACUAUUCUCGCAAGCAUUAAGCAAGUAACCCCAUCCCAAAGUAUCAUGAACGUAGAGCGGCAACUAUAAUAGUAAUGCUGUCAUUUAACAGAAAGACAAAAAUCUAUGAAGCUGCUUAAAUCGUUUCAAUUAACACGAAGGUUCAUCCUAUUCAAAUUCAUGACAAAAAGUAUUGAUUUCUCUUUCGAAUAGGUCCCGAUAGAAGAAGGAAGGUUAAAUUGCCAACGUGCUAUUAUUGAAUUAAAUUCACUUGACCCAAUACACAAAUUAAUUAUAACAUAUCACAUAUAUGUAUUUGUUUUUAUUAACAUAUUUUAAUAGUAGGAUAUAUCAAUCAUUUCGUUCACUGAUAUUAUAACACAUGAAAUAAUAAGAUCACACGUUACCAUUCACUAAACAUUAAUGAAACAGUGGACUUUUAGAAUAUGACCUCAGAAUUAUUGAUUUUCGUUUCAUAAUGUAAAGAACUCAUAUGCUACAAACUACAAUAUUAUCAUCUCUAAAUUCCCAUUCAAUAAAUUAAUUUUCAGUAAUUUAACCACCCGAUGGUGAGGUAUGAACAUUAUUCAGUUAGGUUCAAAUAUUACUAUGAAGAGAGGUUCGAGCGGCAAUAUUUAUAAAUUCCAGACGAACGAAAUCAAUUCUCACUGAUAUAAAAGCAUAAAGCAUACAUAAUAACGUCAAGGUAUCAAGCAGUUUGUAGUUCAAUUAGUCAAGACAUUUACCUUCUGCGCUAAAAGUCUCAAGUAUGAUUCUUUCUCUUUACUAAUCAUGUUUAUAUCCGAAAUCAAGAAGGGCCUAAACGGCAAAGAAGAAACCCAUCCUUGUUUGUCUCUAAUUUAAAAUCCCCGUUAAUCACCUUUCUAGGUUCCUUAAAUAGCCUUAUUUGAAGAACACUUUUGAGCUCACUUCGUCCUUUUUCUCGAUGAUUCAAACUGUUUAUAUUAAAAUUAUU
RNAcentral lists this long non-coding RNA (7658 nucleotides) under Malus domestica (apple). RNAcentral's name for it is "long non-coding RNA (MDOM_LNC005009)". The record is from RNAcentral. Lineage: Eukaryota; Viridiplantae; Streptophyta; Magnoliopsida; Rosales; Rosaceae.